UACCUGAAGCAAACUUGAAGGAAAAAGACUUGUCUUCUUUCCUGGCAGGGACUCAGCCAAUGAAAAGCCAUGGACUCUGUUUACUACAGCCCUCCCAACUUCCUUUUCCUCUCUAUAAAAGACUUCUUUUUCCCUUGCC
Molecule: long non-coding RNA, 139 nt
Organism: Aethalodelphis obliquidens (Pacific white-sided dolphin)
Lineage: Eukaryota; Metazoa; Chordata; Mammalia; Artiodactyla; Delphinidae
Exons: 3
Source: RefSeq, a predicted model, not a curated record